RNAcentral lists this non-coding RNA (93 nucleotides) under Paenibacillus sp. yr247. RNAcentral describes it as "c-di-GMP-I riboswitch aptamer". It matches the Rfam family "c-di-GMP-I riboswitch aptamer". Rfam says of the family: GEMM was predicted in a large-scale screen for bacterial structured RNA regulatory elements. Genes associated with GEMM are involved in a diverse array of functions, including chemotaxis regulation, signal transduction, secretion and chitin. Lineage: Bacteria; Bacillati; Bacillota; Bacilli; Caryophanales; Paenibacillaceae. The record is from Rfam by way of RNAcentral.
UCUCGACAAAGGCAAAACCGGUGAAAGCCGGCGACGCAAAGCUAUAGGGGCUACCACGCGACAAAAAUCGUGCAAUGCCAGCCAGCUGCCGAA